This 233-nucleotide non-coding RNA is filed under the name Clostridium neonatale. Its description in RNAcentral is "T-box". It matches the Rfam family "T-box leader". From Rfam's summary of the family: Uncharged tRNA acts as the effector for transcription antitermination of genes in the T-box leader family. T-boxes are found upstream of many aminoacyl-tRNA synthetase genes and some amino acid biosynthetic genes usually in Gram-positive bacteria. Lineage: Bacteria; Bacillati; Bacillota; Clostridia; Eubacteriales; Clostridiaceae. The record is from RNAcentral.
UUAAAUUCAGUGAGAAGGAAGAGUAAUCAGGUGCAAUGUUAAAGAGAGCUGAUGGUGGUGAGAUAUCAGUACGGUAGCUAAUGAUGAAUGGACCUUUUAGAAGCAAGAUGAAAUCAUUUGAAAGUAGUUAAGCCGUAAGUCGCACGUUAUAGCGAAUAGAGUAUGUUAGUACUUGAUGUUGAGUGGCAUUUUAUGCAAUUUAGGUGGCAACGCGGAUAAUCUCCGUCCUAUGU